Molecule: ribosomal RNA, 254 nt
Filed under: uncultured bacterium
Lineage: Bacteria
Description: partial 16S ribosomal RNA
Rfam family: Bacterial small subunit ribosomal RNA
Source: RNAcentral
UACGUAGGUGGCAAGCGUUGUCCGGAUUUAUUGGGCGUAAAAGGCUUGUAGGUGGCCACGCCAAGUCGGAUGUGAAAUCUCCCGGCUCAACUGGGAGGGGUCAUUCGAUACUGGCGGGCUCGAGGCCGGUAGGGGGAAGUGGAAUUCCCGGUGUAGUGGUGGAAUGCGUAGAUAUCGGGAGGAACACCAGUGGCGAAGGCGGCUUCCUGGACCGGUUCUGACACUGAGGAGCGAAAGCGUGGGGAGCGAUCCGG